GUCUACGGCUAUGCCAAUCUGAACAAGCCCGAUCCUAUCUAAUCUCGGAAGCUAAGCAAGGUUGGUUAGUACUUGGAUGGAAGACCUCUUAGGAAGACCAGGUGCUGUUUACA
RNAcentral lists this ribosomal RNA (113 nucleotides) under Pteropus alecto (black flying fox). The record is from RNAcentral. Lineage: Eukaryota; Metazoa; Chordata; Mammalia; Chiroptera; Pteropodidae.